UACGUAGGGGGCAAGCGUUGUCCGGAUUUAUUGGGCGUAAAGAGCGUGUAGGCGGCCAUACAGGUCAGCUGUGAAAACUCGAGGCUCAACCUCGAGACGUCGGUUGAAACCGUAUGACUAGAGUCCGGAAGAGGAGAGUGGAAUUCCCGGUGUAGCGGUGAAAUGCGCAGAUAUCGGGAAGAACACCCGUGGCGAAGGCGGCUCUCUGGGACGGUACUGACGCUGAGACGCGAAAGCGUGGGGAGCGAACAGG
Molecule: ribosomal RNA, 253 nt
Filed under: uncultured bacterium
Lineage: Bacteria
Description: partial 16S ribosomal RNA
Rfam family: Bacterial small subunit ribosomal RNA
Source: RNAcentral